Molecule: ribosomal RNA, 362 nt
Filed under: uncultured bacterium
Lineage: Bacteria
Description: partial 16S ribosomal RNA
Rfam family: Bacterial small subunit ribosomal RNA
Source: RNAcentral
CCUACGGGAGGCAGCAGUGAGGAAUAUUGGUCAAUGGGCGGAAGCCUGAACCAGCCAAGUAGCGUGCGGGAUGAAGGCCCUACGGGUCGUAAACCGCUUUUGCACGGGGAUAACACCCUCCACUUGUGGAGGUCUGCAGGUACCGUGCGAAUAAGGGCCGGCUAAUUCCGUGCCAGCAGCCGCGGUAAUACGGAAGGCCCGAGCGUUAUCCGGUUUCAUUGGGCUUAAAGGGAGCGUAGGCGGGCGUUAAAGUUAGCUGGAAAAUCGCGGGGCUCAACCGCGCCGCGCAGUUGAAACUGGGCGCAUAGAGAUCAGAAGAGGCAGGCGGAAUUCGUGGGGUAGCGGUGAAAUGCAUAGAGAUC